UCGAAUAUUCGAGUCGAAUCGAAUAUAUUCGAAUAAACUGGUCGAAUCGAAUACGAAUAAAAUUUGAUAUUCGAAUAUUAAACGAAUACGAAUACGAAUAUUCGAAUAUAUAAUCGAAUUCGAAUCGAAUACUGAGAUAUUUGACUCGAUUCGAUUCGUUUACACCCCUAAUUUGGAUUACCAACA
Molecule: long non-coding RNA, 186 nt
Organism: Ipomoea nil (Japanese morning glory)
Lineage: Eukaryota; Viridiplantae; Streptophyta; Magnoliopsida; Solanales; Convolvulaceae
Exons: 3
Source: RefSeq, a predicted model, not a curated record